Nerophis ophidion (straightnose pipefish) is the source of this 841-nucleotide long non-coding RNA. RefSeq lists it as uncharacterized. NCBI's taxonomy places the organism in Eukaryota, Metazoa, Chordata, Actinopteri, Syngnathiformes, Syngnathidae. The transcript has 4 exons. The record is from RefSeq and is a predicted model, not a curated record.
GGUGGAAGGACCAUCUGAUGAAGACAAGUCGGGAGGACCAACUGUUGGACGAGUUACCCAAUUCCAUCCAGAGAUUGUCCUGUCUUGGAAGCGAUGUCACUGAUGAAACAUUCGGCUGACGUGGACAUGGUCAUCAAAAAGAUAAAGCUGACAUUUGCCCAUCGGCAUAACAUGGUCCUGGACCAACAGCAGUCAAGCAACAUUCUGUCUUAUUUUCCUCGUUUUAAAGACAUCAAUGGCUUGGUUGAACAGGAUUUUGUUCUAAUGUUUGGAGAGGAUUAAUCAUACAAGUUUCUGGAGAAGUGGUCAACCACAUUCAAAAAGAAGAUCUUCCAACAAUGCAGAAAGGUUCCCUCCAUUUUUGAGCUUGAGGAACUCCUGAUAGCAGCUGACCCUCCUGAGGAUGGGGCUGAAGUGAACGUUGACUUUGGUCGGAAGAGGCCAGGAGAAGUUUCUGCAUCCCGGGCUGAGAAGCAUCUUGUGGUCUUCAACAAGACUGGAUAAAGCAUCCUAGAACAUCUUGACACCAUUAUUACCAGCACUCAACCCUAUCUCCUGGCUGUUGGAGUGAGGAAGAAUACAAUCCACGAGUUCUUCAUAAUUCUCGACAAGAAUGCCGUACCUUGCAGGUCACACUCCUCUCUUGGUGCUUUUGAUGAACUGUUUAAAGCACACUUUGUGUUUGUGACAUCAUACCACACCAUGCUCCGCAACAUGUACACAUGCAUGCCUUACUCCAAACCAUUUGAUGUUCAAAUGGCGUAUGGAACAUCAUGUUCCAUAUUAUAUGAUGUCCCAUAUUGCCAUUUCAUGCAGACCUAAGUUCACCCUUUAUGUGUUC